Bombus terrestris (buff-tailed bumblebee) is the source of this 1077-nucleotide long non-coding RNA. RefSeq lists it as uncharacterized. The record is from RefSeq and is a predicted model, not a curated record. The transcript is spliced from 7 exons. NCBI's taxonomy places the organism in Eukaryota, Metazoa, Arthropoda, Insecta, Hymenoptera, Apidae.
GGGGUCGAUAGAUGCCAGAUUAUAGCAUAUAUUUCCGGUUUCGCACAUCUGUCAUCGUUUAAUACAAAACUCUCGUGUAUAUUCAUACAUGUACGUACUUAAAGGAAAAAGGAAACCACGAAUAUUUCAUAUUAGAGAUGCAGAAAUAGGAAUGUAACCAGAAAUAAGAAAUGUUUGACGACAAAACUGUUCAUCCAAGAAUCGAGAAGUAUUACAUCGUUUCUGUUUAAGGAUUCUAUUUUCCACGAGCUAUUGCAAGUGAUAUGUGAAAGGUGAUAUUCAGAAGCGGAGUAUACAUUAUACAACUGGUGCUUGUAGAAGUGGGCUGGAUGAUAAAUCUUCCUACUGAAUCAAAUAAAAGCAAAGGUGUUCUCAUGCAUAAAUUCCGCACGUGUGCUAUGAUGUACAUAUACCGAUGAGAUAGUACUUACAUGAUCAUAGCCAUUGUACAGUUCUGGCCAGAGACAAGAACCUGGCUCCACGACAUUUCUCUGCUUCCUGGAUCUUAGAUAGAUAUCUUGUUGUAAUAUAUUAAAGCGUACCGCGUACCAUUGGUAGAGAAACAAAAAUAUGAAAACUCAGAAAAGAAGUUUCGUUACCGAUGGCAAAACAUCCCUGCUAGAGGCAGAACUUUUGGCACUUUUUCUAUGAGAUGCACUUUAAAUAACAACAAAUGCAAGUAUCAUAGAUCCUGCAUAUUUUGAGCAAAGUGAAACAACCACGCGCGCUGAGUAUGGCGUCCAGCAGUGUACUGCUCAAACGAACGAAGAUAAGGAAGAUGUAGUAUGAUAACUUAUAUUAACGAUUGUUGAAUUAGUCGGAUUCCUUUCAUCAGAAAUGAACGGAGAAAAGUUGUACUUAUGAAAGUUACCAACAUGAAGAUAGAAUGCUGCGCCGCAAUCGAUCAAUAUUUGGCAAUUAAAAACUGAUCGUGAAUUGAAGUUUCGAAGCUCACCUUUGACGGAGGUAACCAAAGUUAAAUGUUGAGCAUUCAUCUCGGCGAGCCGGCGGAUCACGUCGAUCUGUUCCAAGGAAAGUUGAACCGCAUUCAACUGUGCCGCACCGCAUGGAACGUAG